This 371-nucleotide ribosomal RNA is filed under the name uncultured eukaryote. RNAcentral's name for it is "bacterial SSU rRNA". It matches the Rfam family "Eukaryotic small subunit ribosomal RNA", at positions 79 to 458 of the family's 1831-position model. The record is from RNAcentral.
ACGUGAAACUGCGAAUGGCUCAUUAUAUCAGUUAUAGUUUAUUUGAUAGUCCUUGCUACUUGGAUAACCGUAGUAACUCUAGAGCUAAUACAUGCAUCAAUCCCUGACUUCCUGGAAGGGGUGUACUUAUUAGAUGGAAACCAAUGCGGGUUCGCCCGGAUCCUGGUGAUUCAUAAUAAUUUUCGGAUCGAUCAUUUGAUCGAUGCAUCAUUCAAGUUUUUGCCCUAUCAGCUUUGGAUGGUAGGGUAUUGGCCUACCAUGGCAUUAACGGGUAACGGAGAAUUAGGGUUUGAUUCCGGAGAAGGAACCUUAAAAACCCCUACCAAUUCCAAAGAAAGCAACAGGCUCUUAAGAUACCCAAUCCUUACACA